CACGUAGGGCGCAAGCGUUGUCCGGAAUUAUUGGGCGUAAAGAGCUCGUAGGCGGACUGUCACGUCUGCUGUGAAAAGCUGGGGCUUAACCCUGGCCUUGCAGUGGAUACGGGCAGACUAGAGGUAGGUAGAGGAGAAUGGAAUUCCCGGUGUAGCGGUGAAAUGCGCAGAUAUCAGGAGGAACACCGAUGGCGAAGGCAGGUCUCUGGGCAUUAACUGACGCUGAGGAGCGAAAGCAUGGGGAGCGAACAGG
Molecule: ribosomal RNA, 253 nt
Filed under: uncultured bacterium
Lineage: Bacteria
Description: partial 16S ribosomal RNA
Rfam family: Bacterial small subunit ribosomal RNA
Source: RNAcentral